CUGGGACCUUCCUGUCCAGCCCCCUGCGUCCUGGACUCAGAGUCACUCUUGUGCAUCCCUGCAGCAUCCCCAGGCCAGGGCCCAGGGGAAUCACCCCAGCUGGCUGGGCAGUGACACAGAGAGCGGCAGCCAUAGGCGGCUUCAGGGGAGGGAGAGAAGCAGCAGCAGAGGCAGGAAAUCGCUGCCUGGAGGCUGGAAAGAAGCAGCCAGGAUAGAAGCGCAGAGGUGGGGGAGUUGGCGGGGCCGACGGCAGCUCCAAGCCAGAGCUCUUAGCCUGGAAACCCCAGAAGUCUCGAGGGUUGCACCACGGUGGGGCCUGAGCGCUCAGCCGUGCUUGCUCCCCCGUUAUCUCUUUCUCCCAGGCUCUGCUGGAGUUCGGUUGCAGUUCGGACAAGCUGGGCAGGAAGCGGUCUCAGAUAAGAUGGAUUCCCCGAGCCGCCAGCUGGUGCGACUGAAGUGUGUAUCCCAGGAGGAACUUCCAGGAUCCUGGAGCGAGCCGCCCCAAGAGCUACGGGAAAGGGAUCAGCUUCCGCCCCAGAUACCCGAGGACAGUGAUGACGAGCAGGAGUCCGCGUCGUCGACCCCCAUGGUCGGCUGCCAGGUGAGCUGCGUGGUCACCCCAUCCUCGCUGUAGAAGGAUGGAGCCCAGCGUCUCUCCUACGGGAGGGAGCUGGGACGUUAACUGGUUCCUCUCUGAGGCUUGGCGGGAUCAUUCAAAAGCUGGCUAGGCACCGAUCCUGCUCUGUCUGCAACUUUAUUUUGAGCAGCAGUAGGGUGCUGGAUCCGGAGGCACUGAAAUCUGUUGCACAAGCCCAUUGGCUACAGCAAGGGAGGGAUUCAGUCCUGUUUUGGGAACAGGGAGAAUUCUUUCCCUUGUGAAUAUCAUCCCGUCACCCUCACUCUUUAAACUCCUUCCCCCCAGUCCUUGCUCCCAUCCCUCUAUCCCCUUUCUCUGCCCCACUCCCACUCUUCCUCCCUCCCUCCCUCCCUCCCACCAUUUGCAACUGCCACAGACCCGUCAGGCCUGCGGCCCUCCCUGACACUCCUUCCUCAUCCCUGCUUCCCCCUGCUGUCGGAUGGGACUGUGGGCUCUCUUGUGGUUCCAGGUGCUGGUGGGGUUCGAGGAGGUGGCCGUGUAUUUCUCCCGGGAGGAGUGGGAGCUCCUGGAUGAAGGGCAGAGGCAGCUCUACAGGGACGUCAUGGAGGAGAAUUACCAGACGCUCAUCUCGCUGGGUGAGGCACCGCUGCCCCUCGGAGAUCAGGAGCCGGGGGGGUUCAGAUGUGCCCAAGGUGGUUUGGGCCCAUCAGAUAAGUUAUCUAUGUGGGGUUAGAUCUAGGUUUUAUUUUUGUCGUCUGCCUGCAUCCAGCUCCCCUGUGUGUGGGAAUCCCUGACUCCCCUACGGGGGUGCAGCCCAUCUGCCCUCAGGCGUCUCAUUGUCCCAAAGGGUCCCUGUGAACAUAUCCCCCCUGCUUGGAUCCUGCACUCCACCCAACAGAGAGCAGGGCCGGGGUUAAAACCAGGGCACAC
Molecule: long non-coding RNA, 1528 nt
Filed under: Chelydra serpentina (North American snapping turtle)
Lineage: Eukaryota; Metazoa; Chordata; Testudines; Chelydridae
Description: lncRNA (ENSCSRG00000007413.1)
Source: RNAcentral